ACGAUGUUCCGCUGUAAUAUCAGAUAUUUUUUACAUGAGCAUCUG
Molecule: regulatory RNA element, 45 nt
Rfam family: Ribosomal protein L19 leader
About the family: This family is a putative r-protein leader autoregulatory structure found in B. subtilis and other low-GC Gram-positive bacteria.
Source: Rfam